ACGGAGGGUGCAAGCGUUGUUCGGAAUCACUGGGCGUAAAGGGCGUGUAGGCGGUCCGCUAAGUCUGAUGUGAAAGCCCGGGGCUCACCCCCGGAAGGGCAUUGGAAACUGGCGGACUCGAGUCCCGGAGAGGAAGGUGGAAUUCCUGGUGUAGCGGUGAAAUGCGUAGAUAUCAGGAGGAAUACCGGUGGCGAAGGCGGCCUUCUGGACGGUGACUGACGCUGAGACGCGAAAGCGUGGGGAGCAAACAGGA
Molecule: ribosomal RNA, 253 nt
Filed under: uncultured prokaryote
Description: partial 16S ribosomal RNA
Rfam family: Bacterial small subunit ribosomal RNA
Source: RNAcentral